Molecule: transfer RNA, 68 nt
Filed under: human gut metagenome
Rfam family: tRNA
About the family: Transfer RNA (tRNA) molecules are approximately 80 nucleotides in length.
Source: RNAcentral
GGGUAUAGUUCAAUCGGUAGAGCGACAGUCUCCAAAACUGUAAGUUGAGGGUUCAAGUCCUUCUGCCC